Molecule: ribosomal RNA, 497 nt
Filed under: uncultured bacterium
Lineage: Bacteria
Description: partial 16S ribosomal RNA
Rfam family: Bacterial small subunit ribosomal RNA
Source: RNAcentral
GAUGAACGCUGGCGGCGUGCCUAACACAUGCAAGUCGAGCGAACGGACGAGAAGCUUGCUUCUCUGAUGUUAGCGGCGGACGGGUGAGUAACACGUGGAUAACCUACCUAUAAGACUGGGAUAACUUCGGGAAACCGUAGCUGAUACCGGAUAAUAUUUUGAACCGCAUGGUUCAAAAGUGAAAGACGGUCUUGCUGUCACUUAUAGAUGGAUCCGCGCUGCAUUAGCUAGUUGGUAAGGUAACGGCUUACCAAGGCAACGAUGCAUAGCCGACCUGAGAGGGUGAUCGGCCACACUGGAACUGAGACACGGUCCAGACUCCUACGGGAGGCAGCAGUAGGGAAUCUUCCGCGAUGGGCGAAAGCCUGACGGAGCAACGCCGCGUGAGUGAUGAAGGUCUUCGGAUCGUAAAACUCUGUUAUUCGGGAAGAACAUAUGUGCUAGUAACUGGGAACAUCUUGACGGUACCUAAUCAGAAAGCCACGGCUAACUACGUG